GAUGAACGCUGGCGGCGUGCCUAAUACAUGCAAGUCGAGCGAACGGACGAGAAGCUUGCUUCUCUGAUGUUAGCGGCGGACGGGUGAGUAACACGUGGAUAACCUACCUAUAAGACUGGGAUAACUUCGGGAAACCGGAGCUAAUACCGGAUAAUAUUUUGAACCGCAUGGUUCAAAAGUGAAAGACGGUCUUGCUGUCACUUAUAGAUGGAUCCGCGCUGCAUUAGCUAGUUGGUAAGGUAACGGCUUACCAAGGCAACGAUGCAUAGCCGACCCGAGAGGGUGAUCGGCCACACUGGAACUGAGACACGGUCCAGGCUCCUACGGGAGGCAGCAGUAGGGAAUCUUCCGCAAUGGGCGAAAGCCUGACGGAGCAACGCCGCGUGAGUGAUGAAGGUCUUCGGAUCGUAAAACUCUGUUAUUAGGGAAGAACAUAUGUGUAAGUAACUGUGCACAUCUUGACGGUACCUAAUCAGAAAGCCACGGCUAACUACGUG
This 497-nucleotide ribosomal RNA is filed under the name uncultured bacterium. RNAcentral's name for it is "partial 16S ribosomal RNA". It matches the Rfam family "Bacterial small subunit ribosomal RNA", at positions 28 to 507 of the family's 1533-position model. The record is from RNAcentral.